This 742-nucleotide ribosomal RNA is filed under the name uncultured bacterium. RNAcentral describes it as "bacterial SSU rRNA". It matches the Rfam family "Bacterial small subunit ribosomal RNA", at positions 8 to 722 of the family's 1533-position model. The record is from RNAcentral.
AGAGUUUGAUCAUGGCUCAGAACGAACGCUGGCGGCGUGCUUAACACAUGCAAGUCGCACGAGAACGCUUCAGCUUGCUGAAGCUAGUAAAGUGGCGUACGGGUGAGUAACGCGUGGGUAAUCUACCUCCGAAUUGGGGAUAACAUUGCGAAAGCGAUGCUAAUACCGGAUAAUAUCCCUCGGCCUUCGGUCUUUGGGAUCAAAGGUGGCCUCUACAUGUAAGCUACUGUUUGGAGAUGAGCCCGCGUACCAUUAGCUCGUUGGUAGGGUAACGGCCUACCAAGGCUACGAUGGUUAGCUGGUCUGAGAGGAUGAUCAGCCACACUGGAACUGACACACGGUCCAGACUCCUACGGGAGGCAGCAGUGAGGAAUUUUGCGCAAUGGGGGAAACCCUGACGCAGCAACGCCGCGUGAGUGAUGAAGGCUUUCGGGUCGUAAAGCUCUGUCAAGUGGGAAGAACCCGCGCCGAACAAAUAGUUCGGUGCGCUGACGGUACCACUGAAGGAAGCACCGGCUAACUCCGUGCCAGCAGCCGCGGUAAUACGGGGGGUGCAAGCGUUAUUCGGAUUCAUUGGGCGUAAAGAGCGCGUAGGCGGUCUUUUAUGUCAGGCGUGAAAGCCCGGGGCUCAACCUCGGAAGUGCACUUGAAACUGAAAGACUUGAGUAUGGGAGAGGGAAGUGGAAUUCCUGGUGUAGCGGUGAAAUGCGUAGAUAUCAGGAGGAACACCGGUGGCGAAGGC